RNAcentral lists this ribosomal RNA (468 nucleotides) under uncultured bacterium. Its description in RNAcentral is "partial 16S ribosomal RNA". It matches the Rfam family "Bacterial small subunit ribosomal RNA", at positions 28 to 507 of the family's 1533-position model. The record is from RNAcentral.
GACGAACGCUGGCGGCGUGCUUAACACAUGCAAGUCGAACGGAAAGGCCCUGCUUUUGUGGGGUACUCGAGUGGCGAACGGGUGAGUAACACGUGAGUAACCUGCCCUUGACAUUGGGAUAACUUCAGGAAACUGGGGCUAAUACCGGAUAGGAGCUCCUGCUGCAUGGUGGGGGUUGGAAAGUUUCGGCGGUUGGGGAUGGACUCGCGGCUUAUCAGCUUGUUGGUGGGGUAGUGGCUUACCAAGGCUUUGACGGGUAGCCGGCCUGAGAGGGUGACCGGCCACAUUGGGACUGAGAUACGGCCCAGACUCCUACGGGAGGCAGCAGUGGGGAAUAUUGCACAAUGGGCGGAAGCCUGAUGCAGCAACGCCGCGUGCGGGAUGACGGCCUUCGGGUUGUAAACCGCUUUCGCCUGUGACGAAGCGUGAGUGACGGUAAUGGGUAAAGAAGCACCGGCUAACUACGUG